Molecule: ribosomal RNA, 116 nt
Filed under: Enterobacter cloacae complex sp. P8BA
Lineage: Bacteria; Pseudomonadati; Pseudomonadota; Gammaproteobacteria; Enterobacterales; Enterobacteriaceae
Source: RNAcentral
AGUAGGGAANNUAGCGCGGUGGUCCCACCUGACCCCAUGCCGAACUCAGAAGUGAAACGCCGUAGCGCCGAUGGUAGUGUGGGGUCUCCCCAUGUGAGAGUAGGGAACUGCCAGGC